UAUUCUUGCAUUAGUUUAAUUAUUUGCAAAAUAAUUGCAAAGAAACCUGUUAAUUGUAUCAUAAUCUAUCUGAUUGUUUUUUAGCCGACUCAAAAUCAUGCUGUUAAUUAGGGCCCCCUGUUGUACAUGUACUUAGGAAUCAGACACCUCCAGAAGAUGAAAGAUCUACUUUACAUCUUUUUCAACGAAAGUACAAUUACUUUGAGAAGUAGGAGAAGCUAAGCAACAGGACAGAAUUCAUUUGAGGCAUUGCUUUCUAGAUUAUAUAGUGGAGUCAUAGAUCGUCCUAUUGAUUUAUGUGCAUAUGAGGAGCAGAAGUCAAUGAAUAAUUUUGUGAUGAGAGCAGUACAUUGUAUUACAACAAAUGGACAGAGGAGUUGACUAUUGGUAGUGACUGAUAAUGGACUGGAGUAACCUAGGGUCCAAUGACUCCAUGCCUGACAGUCCAUGUGUACAUAAUUAGCUCCUCAGAUAUAAGUGGAAGGGAAGCUAUAUACAUUAUAUGUUUAAAUGAAAUUAACAACA
This is a long non-coding RNA of Mytilus californianus (California mussel), 525 nucleotides long. RefSeq lists it as uncharacterized. The transcript is spliced from 4 exons. Lineage: Eukaryota; Metazoa; Mollusca; Bivalvia; Mytilida; Mytilidae. The record is from RefSeq and is a predicted model, not a curated record.